RNAcentral lists this ribosomal RNA (773 nucleotides) under Streptococcus anginosus. RNAcentral's name for it is "bacterial SSU rRNA". It matches the Rfam family "Bacterial small subunit ribosomal RNA", at positions 28 to 776 of the family's 1533-position model. Lineage: Bacteria; Bacillati; Bacillota; Bacilli; Lactobacillales; Streptococcaceae. The record is from RNAcentral.
GACGAACGCGGGCGGCGUGCCUAAUACAUGCAAGUAGGACGCACAGUUUAUACCGUAGCUUGCUACACCAUAGACUGUGAGUUGCGAACGGGUGAGUAACGCGUAGGUAACCUACCUAUUAGAGGGGGAUAACUAUUGGAAACGAUAGCUAAUACCGCAUAACAGUAUGUAACACAUGUUAGAUGCUUGAAAGAUGCAAUUGCAUCGCUAGUAGAUGGACCUGCGUUGUAUUAGCUAGUAGGUAGGGUAAAGGCCUACCUAGGCAACGAUACAUAGCCGACCUGAGAGGGUGAUCGGCCACACUGGGACUGAGACACGGCCCAGACUUCUACGGGAGGCAGCAGUAGGGAAUCUUCGGCAAUGGGGGGAACCCUGACCGAGCAACGCCGCGUGAGUGAAGAAGGUUUUCGGAUCGUAAAGCUCUGUUGUUAAGGAAGAACGAGUGUGAGAAUGGAAAGUUCAUGCUGUGACGGUACUUAACCAGAAAGGGACGGCUAACUACGUGCCAGCAGCCGCGGUAAUACGUAGGUCCCGAGCGUUGUCCGGAUUUAUUGGGCGUAAAGCGAGCGCAGGCGGUUAGAAAAGUCUGAAGUGAAAGGCAGUGGCUCAACCAUUGUAGGCUUUGGAAACUGUUUAACUUGAGUGCAGAAGGGGAGAGUGGAAUUCCAUGUGUAGCGGUGAAAUGCGUAGAUAUAUGGAGGAACACCGGUGGCGAAAGCGGCUCCCUGGUCUGUAACUGACGCUGAGGCUCGAAAGCGUGGGGAGCGAACAGG